UAAUAAGUGUUUUAUGGCACUUUUCAAAUCCAUAUCCACCUUGUGUGCAAUGUCCAGGUCGAUCUUCUUCAUUGAGGAUUGACCAAACAUCAACCUUUAUCUUUUAACUCUUUGUCUGAAAAUAUUAUGAAUAAACAAUUCAAAAUA
This 147-nucleotide unclassified non-coding RNA is filed under the name soil metagenome. Its description in RNAcentral is "partial internal transcribed spacer 1". The record is from RNAcentral.